RNAcentral lists this ribosomal RNA (858 nucleotides) under uncultured bacterium. Its description in RNAcentral is "bacterial SSU rRNA". It matches the Rfam family "Bacterial small subunit ribosomal RNA", at positions 11 to 852 of the family's 1533-position model. The record is from RNAcentral.
GUUUGAUCCUGGCUCAGAGUGAACGCUGGCGGCGUGCUUAACACAUGCAAGUCGAGCGAAGUAUAAAUUGUAGCAAUACAGUUUGUACUUAGCGGCAGACGGGUGAGUAACACGUAGACAACUUACCUCAUAGAGGGGGAUAGCCCGCCGAAAGGCGGGGUAAUACCGCGUAAGAUAUUUCCGGGGCAUCUUGGAAAUAAGAAACAUCCGCAAGGAUGGCUAUGAGAGGGGUCUGCGGCCUAUCAGCUAGUUGGUGAGGUAACGGCUCACCAAGGCAACGACGGGUAUCCGGCCUGAAAGGGUGAUCGGACACACUGACACUGAGACACGGGUCAGACUCCUACGGGAGGCAGCAGUGAGGAAUUUUGGACAAUGGGGGAGACCCUGAUCCAGCGACGCCGCGUGAAGGAUGAAGGUCUUCGGAUUGUAAACUUCUUUUAUUUGGGACUAAGAAAUCUGUGGAAACAUAGAGAGUGAAUGUACCAGAUGAAUAAGCAACGGCUAACUUCGUGCCAGCAGCCGCGGUAAUACGAAGGUUGCAAGCGUUACUCGGAAUUACUAGGCGUAAAGGGCAGGUAGGUGGUUUGGUAAGUCUAUUGUGAAAGCUCCCGGCUUAACCGGGAGAGGCCAAUGGAUACUACCAAGCUUGAGUAUAGGAGAGGUUACUGGAAUUCCCGGUGUAGCGGUGAAAUGCGCAGAUAUCGGGAGGAACACCAAUGGCGAAAGCAGGUAACUGGACUAUUACUGACACUCAACUGCGAAAGCUAGGGGAGCAAACAGGAUUAGAUACCCUGGUAGUCCUAGCCGUANACGAUGCACAUUAGACGUGAGGGGUAUCGACCCCCUUCGUGUCGACGC